This 253-nucleotide ribosomal RNA is filed under the name uncultured bacterium. RNAcentral describes it as "partial 16S ribosomal RNA". It matches the Rfam family "Bacterial small subunit ribosomal RNA", at positions 524 to 776 of the family's 1533-position model. The record is from RNAcentral.
UACGUAGGGGGCGAGCGUUGUCCGAAGUUACUGGGCGUAAAGCGCGCGUAGGCGGCUCCUUAAGUGACUGGUGAAAUCCUCGGGCUCAACUCGGGGCGGUCUGGUCAUACUGGGGAGCUAGAGUGUGGGAGAGGAGAGUGGAACUCCUGGUGUAGCGGUGAUAUGCGUAGAGAUCAGGAAGAACACCCGUGGCGAAGGCGGCUCUCUGGACCACAACUGACGCUGAGGUGCGAAAGCCAGGGGAGCGAACGGG